RNAcentral lists this long non-coding RNA (1151 nucleotides) under Salvia miltiorrhiza (redroot sage). Its description in RNAcentral is "long non-coding RNA (SMIL_LNC004806)". Lineage: Eukaryota; Viridiplantae; Streptophyta; Magnoliopsida; Lamiales; Lamiaceae. The record is from RNAcentral.
GUGGCAAGCAUGUCAUUUUUACGGCUCCAGCUAGGAUGUCAUGUGCUUGGUCCAUGCGGAAAAGUCCGAAAAUUCGAUAAUUGGCUGAGAAAUGUCCUGCGAGUGCAACACUUAUUAAUUAGUGUCCUAUUUUUACAAGUCCGAAAGUUAUUGUCCUAAUUUUCAAAUCAACCUAAGUUACUAUCCUAAAAUACCCUGAAGAAUCUAUAAUUUGUCUCGUGAUUUUGAACUCUGCAGCUUCAGACAUGUAAAACUCUGGAAAAGGGAGAUCGUUUGAUGGAGGCGGAGACGUGACAGAAAUUUGCUCGCAUCGAAUGAAACAAAGGGCUGAGGGAGUUAUGGUCGGAGGCGAAAGAGAGAGUUAUUGUCGGAGGCGCAGCUAAAGCGGAGAUGCAGCGAGAAGGGAGGCUAAAAGAAAGAAAUAUUUUUUUUAAUAAAGAAAUACUUCAUUUAUUUACAAAAAAAGUUCUAGAAGAAGACAACACACAUUUUAAUAAAAAUAAUUAAAUGUAUUGUGAGUGAAGAAAGAGUCUCACUUAAAAAAUACUCCAUUCGUCCCACUUUAAUAGACUCACUUUUUUUGAAUACGGAGAUUAAGAAACUUACUUUUUAGGAGGAAAGUAGUGGUCCACACCAAUUAAGUACAUUAUUUGUACUCAAAAUGAAAACCGAGCCUAUUCUAAUGAGACGUCCGGAAAAAGAAAACGAGCAUAUUAGAGUGGGACGGAGAGAGUAGUUAAUAACCAUAAUUAAGAGUAUUGUGAGUGAAGAAUAUGCUCAUCAUGUGAUCAAAAGUUUUCAAAAAAUAAAAGAGACUAAUUUUUGUAAAUGUCUCAAAAUAAUAAAAAUUUUGAACAUCGAAUUUUUUUUGGAGUAUAUAUUUUUUGUGAAUGGAUAAAAAAAAAAUUAUCGAAUACAAAUCCAAAUAGAUAUAUAUAUAAAGAUAUGAACACUAGGUACCAUGGCAAGAGCGCGGCUGAUCGUGAACAUCGGUACCACCACUCCAGCGGAUCGAAUAGCAGAAGCCGAUGCCUCCUACUCCAAAACGAAUCCAACGAGAGCGAAAUUCGCCGCUAUGACCAUGAGAGCUCUAGCCUCAGACACCGUGAUUGUGCUAUUUGUAAAGUGUGAUUGAAAUCAAGCAUGGACCU